RNAcentral lists this ribosomal RNA (473 nucleotides) under uncultured Pseudomonas sp. RNAcentral's name for it is "bacterial SSU rRNA". It matches the Rfam family "Bacterial small subunit ribosomal RNA", at positions 46 to 514 of the family's 1533-position model. Lineage: Bacteria; Pseudomonadati; Pseudomonadota; Gammaproteobacteria; Pseudomonadales; Pseudomonadaceae. The record is from RNAcentral.
GCCUAACACAUGCAAGUCGAGCGGUAGAGAGAAGCUUGCUUCUCUUGAGAGCGGCGGACGGGUGAGUAAAGCCUAGGAAUCUGCCUGGUAGUGGGGGAUAACGUUCGGAAACGGACGCUAAUACCGCAUACGUCCUACGGGAGAAAGCAGGGGACCUUCGGGCCUUGCGCUAUCAGAUGAGCCUAGGUCGGAUUAGCUAGUUGGUGAGGUAAUGGCUCACCAAGGCGACGAUCCGUAACUGGUCUGAGAGGAUGAUCAGUCACACUGGAACUGAGACACGGUCCAGACUCCUACGGGAGGCAGCAGUGGGGAAUAUUGGACAAUGGGCGAAAGCCUGAUCCAGCCAUGCCGCGUGUGUGAAGAAGGUCUUCGGAUUGUAAAGCACUUUAAGUUGGGAGGAAGGGCAUUAACCUAAUACGUUAGUGUUUUGACGUUACCGACAGAAUAAGCACCGGCUAACUCUGUGCCAGCAG